UACGUAGGGUGCAAGCGUUAAUCGGAAUUACUGGGCGUAAAGCGUGCGCAGGCGGUGAUGUAAGACAGAUGUGAAAUCCCCGGGCUCAACCUGGGAACUGCAUUUGUGACUGCAUCGCUGGAGUGCGGCAGAGGGGGAUGGAAUUCCGCGUGUAGCAGUGAAAUGCGUAGAUAUUGGGAGGAACACCGGUGGCGAAGGCGGCUACCUGGACCGGAACUGACGCUGAGGCGCGAAAGCUGGGGUAGCAAACAGG
This 253-nucleotide ribosomal RNA is filed under the name uncultured bacterium. RNAcentral describes it as "partial 16S ribosomal RNA". It matches the Rfam family "Bacterial small subunit ribosomal RNA", at positions 524 to 776 of the family's 1533-position model. The record is from RNAcentral.